This 301-nucleotide ribosomal RNA is filed under the name uncultured bacterium. RNAcentral describes it as "partial 16S ribosomal RNA". It matches the Rfam family "Bacterial small subunit ribosomal RNA", at positions 509 to 807 of the family's 1533-position model. The record is from RNAcentral.
CAGCAGCCACGGUAAUACGUAGGUGGCAAGCGUUGUCCGGAAUUAUUGGGCGUAAAGGGCUCGCAGGCGGUUUCUUAAGUCUGAUGUGAAAGCCCCUGGCUCAACCGGGGAGGGUCAUUGGAAACUGGGAAACUUGAGUGCAGAAGAGGAGAGUGGAAUUCCACGUGUAGCGGUGAAAUGCGUAGAGAUGUGGAGGAACACCAGUGGCGAAGGCGACUCUCUGGUCUGUAACUGACGCUGAGGAGCGAAAGCGUGGGGAGCGAACAGGAUUAGAUACCCGAGUAGUCCCUGUCUCUUAUAC